Molecule: ribosomal RNA, 752 nt
Filed under: Vibrio alginolyticus
Lineage: Bacteria; Pseudomonadati; Pseudomonadota; Gammaproteobacteria; Vibrionales; Vibrionaceae
Description: bacterial SSU rRNA
Rfam family: Bacterial small subunit ribosomal RNA
Source: RNAcentral
CAUGGCUCAGAUUGAACGCUGGCGGCAGGCCUAACACAUGCAAGUCGAGCGGAAACGAGUUGUCUGAACCUUCGGGGAACGAUAACGGCGUCGAGCGGCGGACGGGUGAGUAAUGCCUAGGAAAUUGCCCUGAUGUGGGGGAUAACCAUUGGAAACGAUGGCUAAUACCGCAUGAUGCCUACGGGCCAAAGAGGGGGACCUUCGGGCCUCUCGCGUCAGGAUAUGCCUAGGUGGGAUUAGCUAGUUGGUGAGGUAAGGGCUCACCAAGGCGACGAUCCCUAGCUGGUCUGAGAGGAUGAUCAGCCACACUGGAACUGAGACACGGUCCAGACUCCUACGGGAGGCAGCAGUGGGGAAUAUUGCACAAUGGGCGCAAGCCUGAUGCAGCCAUGCCGCGUGUAUGAAGAAGGCCUUCGGGUUGUAAAGUACUUUCAGUCGUGAGGAAGGUGGUGUUGUUAAUAGCAGCAUCAUUUGACGUUAGCGACAGAAGAAGCACCGGCUAACUCCGUGCCAGCAGCCGCGGUAAUACGGAGGGUGCGAGCGUUAAUCGGAAUUACUGGGCGUAAAGCGCAUGCAGGUGGUUUGUUAAGUCAGAUGUGAAAGCCCGGGGCUCAACCUCGGAAUAGCAUUUGAAACUGGCAGACUAGAGUACUGUAGAGGGGGGUAGAAUUUCAGGUGUAGCGGUGAAAUGCGUAGAGAUCUGAAGGAAUACCGGUGGCGAAGGCGGCCCCCUGGACAGAUACUGACACUCA